AACGAACGCUGGCGGCAGGCCUAACACAUGCAAGUCGAACGUGAAGCUAGGCUUCGGCCUAGUGGAAAGUGGCAGACCGGGUGAGGAACACGUGGGAAUCUGCCCAGUGGUACGGAAUAACUUCGGGAAACCGGAGCUAAUGCCGUAUACGCCCUUCCGGGGGAAAGAUUUAUCGCCAUUGGAUGAGCCCGCGUCGGAUUAGCUUGUUGGUAGGGUAACGGCCUACCAAGGCGACGAUCCGUAGCUGGUCUGAGGAGGGUGAUCGGCCACACUGGGACUGAGACACGGCCCAGACUCCGUACGGGAGGCAGCAGUAGGGAAUCUUCCGCAAUGGAACGAAAGUCUGACGGAGCAACGCCGCGUGGGGGAAGAAGGCCUUCGGGUCGUAAACCCCUUUUCUUGGGGAAGAAGGAAGUGACGGUACCCGAGGAAUAAGUCUCGGCCGACUACGUG
Molecule: ribosomal RNA, 453 nt
Filed under: uncultured bacterium
Lineage: Bacteria
Description: bacterial SSU rRNA
Rfam family: Bacterial small subunit ribosomal RNA
Source: RNAcentral